UCGAACGAUGAACCCGCUUCGGUGGGGGAUUAGUGGCGAACGGGUGAGUAACACGUGGGCAAUCUGCCCUUCACUCUGGGACAAGCCCUGGAAACGGGGUCUAAUACCGGAUACGACCACUUCAGGCAUCUGAUGGUGGUGGAAAGCUCCGGCGGUGAAGGAUGAGCCCGCGGCCUAUCAGCUUGUUGGUGAGGUAAUGGCUCACCAAGGCGACGACGGGUAGCCGGCCUGAGAGGGCGACCGGCCACACUGGGACUGAGACACGGCCCAGACUCCUACGGGAGGCAGCAGUGGGGAAUAUUGCACAAUGGGCGAAAGCCUGAUGCAGCGACGCCGCGUGAGGGAUGACGGCCUUCGGGUUGUAAACCUCUUUCAGCAGGGAAGAAGCGAAAGUGACGGUACCUGCAGAAGAAGCGCCGGCUAACUACGUGCCAGCAGCCGCGGUAAUACGUAGGGCGCAAGCGUUGUCCGGAAUUAUUGGGCGUAAAGAGCUCGUAGGCGGCUUGUCACGUCGGAUGUGAAAGCCCGAGGCUUAACCUCGGGUCUGCAUUCGAUACGGGCAGGCUAGAGUGUGGUAGGGGAGAUCGGAAUUCCUGGUGUAGCGGUGAAAUGCGCAGAUAUCAGGAGGAACACCGGUGGCGAAGGCGGAUCUCUGGGCCAUUACUGACGCUGAGGAGCGAAAGCGUGGGGAGCGAACAGGAUU
Molecule: ribosomal RNA, 703 nt
Filed under: Streptomyces sp.
Lineage: Bacteria; Bacillati; Actinomycetota; Actinomycetes; Kitasatosporales; Streptomycetaceae
Description: bacterial SSU rRNA
Rfam family: Bacterial small subunit ribosomal RNA
Source: RNAcentral